RNAcentral lists this ribosomal RNA (255 nucleotides) under uncultured bacterium. Its description in RNAcentral is "partial 16S ribosomal RNA". It matches the Rfam family "Bacterial small subunit ribosomal RNA", at positions 524 to 777 of the family's 1533-position model. The record is from RNAcentral.
UACGAAGGGGGCUAGCGUUGCUCGGAAUUACUGGGCGUAAAGGGAGCGUAGGCGGAUAGUUUAGUCAGAGGUGAAAGCCCAGGGCUCAACCUUGGAAUUGCCUUUGAUACUGGCUAUCUUGAGUACGGAAGAGGUAUGUGGAACUCCGAGUGUAGAGGUGAAAUUCGUAGAUAUUCGGAAGAACACCAGUGGCGAAGGCGACAUACUGGUCCGUUACUGACGCUGAGGCUCGAAAGCGUGGGGAGCCAAACAGGG